This 71-nucleotide transfer RNA is filed under the name Groenewaldozyma salmanticensis. Its description in RNAcentral is "tRNA-Arg". It matches the Rfam family "tRNA". From Rfam's summary of the family: Transfer RNA (tRNA) molecules are approximately 80 nucleotides in length. Their secondary structure includes four short double-helical elements and three loops (D, anti-codon, and T loops). Further hydrogen bonds mediate the characteristic L-shaped molecular structure. tRNAs have two regions of fundamental functional importance: the anti-codon, which is responsible for specific mRNA codon recognition, and the 3' end, to which the tRNAs corresponding amino acid is attached (by aminoacyl-tRNA synthetases). tRNAs cope with the degeneracy of the genetic code in two manners: having more than one tRNA (with a specific anti-codon) for a particular amino acid; and 'wobble' base-pairing, i.e. permitting non-standard base-pairing at the 3rd anti-codon position. Lineage: Eukaryota; Fungi; Ascomycota; Dipodascomycetes; Dipodascales; Trichomonascaceae. The record is from RNAcentral.
GUUCAUAUAGUUUAAUGGUAAAACUGAUUGCUUCUAACGAUCUGAUCUGGGUUCAAAUCCUAGUAUGAAUG